Molecule: long non-coding RNA, 896 nt
Filed under: Coffea arabica (coffee)
Lineage: Eukaryota; Viridiplantae; Streptophyta; Magnoliopsida; Gentianales; Rubiaceae
Description: long non-coding RNA (CARA_LNC000722)
Source: RNAcentral
GUAUUUAUUUGAUACAACAAAAGAUAUAACUGUUUUACCGUGCGGGCACACGAUACAUUUGGACUGCGUGCAAAAGAUGGAGCAUCACAGCCGGUAAGAAAUUUGUAACCACACCAAUCCUCUGCUCACCGAACAUUGAGACUUUUACUUCUGUAUUUCUGCUAAUAAUUGCAACUCUUAAGGUAACCGGAUUCAUUUACUUCAUGUUCCUCUAGGUACUCAUGUCCCGUGUGCUCAAAAUCCAUCUGUGAUCUGUCAAACUUGUGGGGAAUGAUCGACCAAGAAGUAUGUCUCCAUGUUCCUUCUUUCUCACCCAUUUUCCCAAUAAAUACUUGUUGGUAAUACAAGGUUGAUUACACUAAAACUUUCUACUAAAUUUGUGAUCUCAGGUUGAUGCAACUCAAAUGCCUGAGAUGUAUAAGGACAAGAUGGUAAGGCUCUUUGUUUCCUAGAUAAAGAUAACAUGCAAGAAGUUAAAUUUAGUACUAUUGGAAACUGAAUCCUAGUAUUCAUAUUCUGGGAAAUAUGUGUAUUGUAGGUGUGGAUCCUCUGCAAUGACUGUGGUGCAAUUGCUGAAGUGCAUUUUCACAUUUUGGCACACAAAUGCUUAAGAUGCAAGUCUUAUAACACUAGACAGAUCCAAGGAGGCCCUGCAUCUUCGUGCUCAUCAUCCUCUGGCCAUAGAAUUGCCGAGGCAGUCAGAUGACACUUCUGGUUUAGACAAGGCAGCUUUUAGAUGAUACCGGUGGCUCCAUCCAUAGAUACGGCUAGAAAAGUAGUAGUACCCCAAAGAACUUUUGGGGGAUCAAGGAAAUAAUGUAUCUAAGCUAGAACUUAUGCAUGUUCUAAAGGAAUAAUUGAUUAAUUGGUUCAAGAAGUUUGUCAGUCUUGUAAGG